Molecule: ribosomal RNA, 1540 nt
Filed under: Klebsiella pneumoniae
Lineage: Bacteria; Pseudomonadati; Pseudomonadota; Gammaproteobacteria; Enterobacterales; Enterobacteriaceae
Description: bacterial SSU rRNA
Rfam family: Bacterial small subunit ribosomal RNA
Source: RNAcentral
AAAUUGAAGAGUUUGAUCAUGGCUCAGAUUGAACGCUGGCGGCAGGCCUAACACAUGCAAGUCGAGCGGUAGCACAGAGAGCUUGCUCUCGGGUGACGAGCGGCGGACGGGUGAGUAAUGUCUGGGAAACUGCCUGAUGGAGGGGGAUAACUACUGGAAACGGUAGCUAAUACCGCAUAACGUCGCAAGACCAAAGUGGGGGACCUUCGGGCCUCAUGCCAUCAGAUGUGCCCAGAUGGGAUUAGCUAGUAGGUGGGGUAACGGCUCACCUAGGCGACGAUCCCUAGCUGGUCUGAGAGGAUGACCAGCCACACUGGAACUGAGACACGGUCCAGACUCCUACGGGAGGCAGCAGUGGGGAAUAUUGCACAAUGGGCGCAAGCCUGAUGCAGCCAUGCCGCGUGUGUGAAGAAGGCCUUCGGGUUGUAAAGCACUUUCAGCGGGGAGGAAGGCGGUGAGGUUAAUAACCUCAUCGAUUGACGUUACCCGCAGAAGAAGCACCGGCUAACUCCGUGCCAGCAGCCGCGGUAAUACGGAGGGUGCAAGCGUUAAUCGGAAUUACUGGGCGUAAAGCGCACGCAGGCGGUCUGUCAAGUCGGAUGUGAAAUCCCCGGGCUCAACCUGGGAACUGCAUUCGAAACUGGCAGGCUAGAGUCUUGUAGAGGGGGGUAGAAUUCCAGGUGUAGCGGUGAAAUGCGUAGAGAUCUGGAGGAAUACCGGUGGCGAAGGCGGCCCCCUGGACAAAGACUGACGCUCAGGUGCGAAAGCGUGGGGAGCAAACAGGAUUAGAUACCCUGGUAGUCCACGCCGUAAACGAUGUCGAUUUGGAGGUUGUGCCCUUGAGGCGUGGCUUCCGGAGCUAACGCGUUAAAUCGACCGCCUGGGGAGUACGGCCGCAAGGUUAAAACUCAAAUGAAUUGACGGGGGCCCGCACAAGCGGUGGAGCAUGUGGUUUAAUUCGAUGCAACGCGAAGAACCUUACCUGGUCUUGACAUCCACAGAACUUUCCAGAGAUGGAUUGGUGCCUUCGGGAACUGUGAGACAGGUGCUGCAUGGCUGUCGUCAGCUCGUGUUGUGAAAUGUUGGGUUAAGUCCCGCAACGAGCGCAACCCUUAUCCUUUGUUGCCAGCGGUUAGGCCGGGAACUCAAAGGAGACUGCCAGUGAUAAACUGGAGGAAGGUGGGGAUGACGUCAAGUCAUCAUGGCCCUUACGACCAGGGCUACACACGUGCUACAAUGGCAUAUACAAAGAGAAGCGACCUCGCGAGAGCAAGCGGACCUCAUAAAGUAUGUCGUAGUCCGGAUUGGAGUCUGCAACUCGACUCCAUGAAGUCGGAAUCGCUAGUAAUCGUAGAUCAGAAUGCUACGGUGAAUACGUUCCCGGGCCUUGUACACACCGCCCGUCACACCAUGGGAGUGGGUUGUAAAAGAAGUAGGUAGCUUAACCUUCGGGAGGGCGCUUACCACUUUGUGAUUCAUGACUGGGGUGAAGUCGUAACAAGGUAACCGUAGGGGAACCUGCGGUUGGAUCACCUCCUUA